Molecule: unclassified non-coding RNA, 117 nt
Organism: Pongo abelii (Sumatran orangutan)
Lineage: Eukaryota; Metazoa; Chordata; Mammalia; Primates; Hominidae
Rfam family: Metazoan signal recognition particle RNA
About the family: The signal recognition particle (SRP) is a universally conserved ribonucleoprotein.
Source: Ensembl
GCUGGGCGUGGUGGCUCACACCUGUAAUCCCAGCACUUUGGGAGGCUGAGGUGGGAGGAUUGCUUGAGCCCAGGAGUUCACGGCUAGCUUGGGCAACAUAGCAAGACCCCAUCUCAA